RNAcentral lists this long non-coding RNA (2701 nucleotides) under Trifolium pratense (red clover). RNAcentral describes it as "long non-coding RNA (TPRA_LNC002790)". Lineage: Eukaryota; Viridiplantae; Streptophyta; Magnoliopsida; Fabales; Fabaceae. The record is from RNAcentral.
AGUCUGUCCUUUUCAAUUCUUUCUCUGCUUCGUUGCCAGCACAACACACGAAGUCCAUCUUCAUUCUUCAAGUUCACUCAUCCAAACAUGCAUGUGGGUUAAACUCCAUCAUAAAUCCUAUUUUCUUCCUUCUAUUCAAGUUAAAUCUCAAAACCCCAAUCUUUAUGCCUUCUCUUUUGGUUGGUGCAUGUGACGAAUUGAGUAACCACAAGUUGAUGGAAGAUAAGGGAAAUCAAGUUGAGAGCCUCGUGUGAAUCAAUUUUAAGAACAAGGUAGUUUUUGAAAAGGUUGGAAGAGCUUGGGUCAAACCCGUAUUCUAGAACAGGGCUUUACUAAAACGGUAACUGCUCCUUCUGUGUAACUCUGAUUUAAAUUCCUUCUGUAAAUUUUGUCUUUUGACGAGUCCGGGAGUUGUCGAUGACAUUUCACAGUAAAGGGGUUUCAAUGACAAAGUUCAAAGUUGGAAAUAAAACUACAGACUAGGAUCAAAUCAAAGAAUGAGCUUGUUGGAGGGAACUAAAAGUGGGAGCUUGGUACUAUGGUUGUGAUGCUCAAUUGUUGAGAAAGCUUCCAAUUUUAAAGGUGGGUUCCUUAGAGCCUUAAACUCUAGUUAGUUUAGCUCCAUUAGUUUUCUCAAAUAAAAUAAAUGCAUGAUAACAUUAGUUCAGUUAGAAUAUUAAUUCCCCAAUUUAUCAAUUGCAUGACAAUACUAAGAUUUAAGGAAUUUAUUGUGUGAGAAUGGUUAAAUCCCCAAACUAUUCUCCGUUCUGAAUAAUUACAGUGUUUGAAAUUAGGAAGAUAUGGAUUGUAGGUGAAUAUUGGCUUGAUUUCUUAGAAAGAAAAAAAAAAUGCAAACAGGGUUCUGUACUGAUGUACUCGCUUAGCGAUGAAUGACUUCGCUGGGCGAGAGUGUCAUAAUAGAACACUGCAUAAUUUUACUUUAACUACCAAGUCACUUGUUUUAUAUUCCUAUUCUUCCUAAUGUGUUUCUGUGGACAGUGUAACGUCGUUACAUAUUUAGAAUGUUAAUCACACCUCAGGAAAUUAAGUAUCAGGAAUCAGGACGGUUUAGAGAUACCCUGGAAGGGAAUUCAUGGGCAGGAUAACAAUCAGGAUUAUUAAGUUAAGAAAGUCAAUCAAUUAUGGUGGUUACUUAUGUACCACGUUAUGGGAUUCGUUAGAAUCCAAUCAUGUUAUUCGACCUCAAUCACACAUGUUAUGAUUGUGAGCUUCAGUCGUGUCGAUGUACAUUAUUAUCCCAAACGGAUAUGUCAGGCCUCUGAGACCGGCUCACCUCAGAGUGUCUUUGUUAUGAAUAAAACGAAUAAGAUAAAUAAUUUGUGUUACACCUUUAUGUAUUAUGUUAUGAAAUUAUGUUAUGUAAAUCAUGUUUAGAGAUUGACUAUCAGGAUUAUAGAACUAUUAGUUCAUCAAUUGUACCCGGUGUAGACACCAAUAGUAACUGGGUAGUAGGAAUCCACUGAGACGAAGUAACUGUUCGCAUCCCCCACUUAUAUGAUUUCAGAUAUCAUGGUCUACAAGCAUGGAGUUCAGAUACUUCGAUUAUGCUAGUUGAGCUGACGUCAUGUUGUCUUAUAUUUUGUAUAAGAUUUAGUUUCUUUAUGUUUUUAGUUGUUAGCUCAAUUUAGUAUUAAUCUCUUGGAUUUUGUAAUCCUAUUUAUGUAUUUCAGAUGAUAUGUAAUGAAAAUUUAAUGUUUCCCGAUUCAGUUAUGUACACUCUUGUUGAUAUUCUAGAUAAAUUGACAUGAGGUGUUAUAAUAAUCGAUACUUAAUACUUAAUGAGUUAAUGUAAACUUUUAUUUUCUAAAAAGAUAAAAUGAAAUGAAUAUAUAGAAAGAGUUUAAAGAUGACAAGCAAAGGAGCAAGACCAAAUUCUAUCUGGAUUAAGACGCACGUGUGUAACGUGCUCCUCCACCGAGGACGCAUGUUCCUCCAAGUUUAUCCCUUAUCCCUAAUAAGCGGAACACCUUAGCCCAAGAUGAGGACCACGAACGGUCUCUCCCUCCAUCCAAGGAGAAGUCCUGGAAGUCAUCCUUAGUGGGCUGCUCAACACGGCCCAUUAAGGAGACGUUUGACCCAACGUUGGGGGCUCUAUAUAAACCCUCCUCAUCAGGAGGGUCAGAGAUUCAAUUCAUUCUACUCUUUGAAGCAUCAGAUUGUCUACAGGUACAAAUCCCCCCUCUGUGGAUUGCUCAACAACGAACGUAUUGCUGGCAUCAUAAUCUCUGAUCUCCAGGUAUGAUAAAAAUGUAAUUUUAUAUUUAAUUUAGAGUUUAGUGGAUAUGAUAUUAUGUUAGUGUAAAAUAAUUUGACACUAACAUUCAAUAAAAAUCAAGCAUUUUGCCUUCUAUUUUCUCUUUCAUUUAUAAUAUUGUAACAGGUUUAUUUGAUAUGAUAUCCAUGUGUUUAUUUGUUUCAGGUUGAAGGAUUAGUUCUAUAUAGUGAAGAUUCAAUCAAUGUCGACUUUGGUGUUAUCAACGCUACGGAUUCGGAGGCAUGAACAUUCCGAACACUUCAAUAAUGUCAUAUUUAAAUUUGUAGGCUAUGCAAUUUGUCGUUUUAUGCUAUUAACAUGUAUAUUGUGAGUUUGUUCGCAGAUUUAUCUUUUUUGUUUUUAGCGACUUUGAAUUUGUAUUGCAUCGUAUUAUCAAUUUGAAUGAAUGAAUAUCUUUAUUUUGAG